AUAACAGCUUUUUCUUCUUGGAUCAAUUAGUCAUUUGAUCAGUUUCUUCUUCUUCACCAUCAUCACGAUUAAUUUCUUCUUCGUCUUUAUCAUCGCAAUCACAUCAUCAAUAAUCAUCAUCAUGAGCAGUUUAAUCAAUCAUCAUCACUAGAGAUGAUCUGAGAGGCUGACCGUGAUAGCAAGAUAGUGGCAUGACAGGGGCUUCAUUCUUUAACAAAGAGCUUGGUUCUUUAGUGACGUUGUUGCCCACCGAUGAUCGUUGGCUUUAGUUCGAGGUGCUGGGCUUAUGGGUGAGAGAGUUAGGUAUUUGCAGAUUUUCG
Molecule: long non-coding RNA, 320 nt
Filed under: Citrus sinensis (sweet orange)
Lineage: Eukaryota; Viridiplantae; Streptophyta; Magnoliopsida; Sapindales; Rutaceae
Description: long non-coding RNA (CSIN_LNC001029)
Source: RNAcentral